GAUGAACGCUGGCGGCAGGCUUAAUACAUGCAAGUUGAACGGUAACAUGUUGUAGCAAUACGAUGAUGACGAGUGGCGCACGGGUGCGUAACACGUGUGUAACCUACCUUAUACAGGAACAUAACGUUGAGAAAUCGGCGCUAAUAUUCCAUAAUAUUAUUUAUAGGCAUCUAUAGAUAAUUAAAACCCCGGUGGUAUAAGAUGGGCACGCGUUCCAUUAGCUAGUUGGUAAGGUAACGGCUUACCAAGGCCACGAUGGAUAGGGGUUCUGAGAGGAUACACCCCCACACUGGAACUGAGACACGGUCCAGACUCCUACGGGAGGCAGCAGUAAGGAAUAUUGGGCAAUGGAGGCAACUCUGACCCAGCCAUGCCGCGUGCAGGAAGACGGCCCUACGGGUUGUAAACUGCUUUUAAUAGGGAGUAAAAUCAGCUACGUGUAGUUGAUUGCAAGUACCUAUAGAAUAAGCAUCGGCUAACUCCGUG
RNAcentral lists this ribosomal RNA (486 nucleotides) under uncultured bacterium. RNAcentral describes it as "bacterial SSU rRNA". It matches the Rfam family "Bacterial small subunit ribosomal RNA", at positions 28 to 507 of the family's 1533-position model. The record is from RNAcentral.